RNAcentral lists this long non-coding RNA (460 nucleotides) under Pongo abelii (Sumatran orangutan). RNAcentral's name for it is "lncRNA (ENSPPYG00000040746.1)". The record is from RNAcentral. Lineage: Eukaryota; Metazoa; Chordata; Mammalia; Primates; Hominidae.
AUGGCAGCAAAGGCCAAAGUCUUAUUUGAGUUAUUACCAUUAUUAUUCACAUUUGCCAUUUUAUUUCAAACUCACAGUGGCGGAAGUGGACUAAGACAUCAUGUUGCCUCAAGUUUAAUUGGAAAUCGUGAGAUGGGGUUUUACUAUGUUGGAGAAGCUAGUCUCAAACUCCUGGGCUCAAGUCAUCCUCCCGCCUCAGCCUGGUUAUUGAGAUUACAGACGUGUGCCUGGCCUAUUUUACUCGUUUUGAUAUCAACAUUCAAUGGUGGUGGAGGAGGUUCUCCUGCUUGCAUUUGCUGGGACCAGGCCCUUUAUUGUUCCACUUUAGUUCAAAGAUGCAAGGUCACUAAGCACGCUUCUUUUUUGUAUCAGUUUUAGAAAUUAUUGUAUCUUGUUCUACAUCACUUUAACAUUCAUGUAAUUGUUGAAAUUUUACCACCCAAGGCAUAAAAGGAAAUAU